CACCGGUGUCGUGGAGUUCCGGGUCGCCGGCGGUCCCGCCGCCGGCGCCGUGCACCGGCUCGGUGUCGGCCGGUACGACAUCGGCACCGGAGCC
This 94-nucleotide transfer RNA is filed under the name Streptomyces fuscichromogenes. RNAcentral describes it as "tRNA-Gly". The record is from RNAcentral. Lineage: Bacteria; Bacillati; Actinomycetota; Actinomycetes; Kitasatosporales; Streptomycetaceae.